GACAGUCAACGGCCACUAUGCCGGCCGCCGAUCUCCGGCGCCGGCACCACCAUCUGCGGUGGCCGGGAAAAGGAAAAAAAAUCCUCUUUAGCCUUCUCAACCUCCUUUACCCAAAUCUGGGCUUAAAUCUCGUGAAAUAUUAACGAAAGAACCCCUAAAAGCACUAAAACCUUUCGGCUUCUGGUCGUCUUUCAUCGGAGACGACAACCUCCAUCAUUCACGGCGUUCUGGGCUUCGAAACACAGGUUGUGUCUUCCCUUUUCCCUAUUUACUUUAUUCGUAUGUAUAUAAUGGUAAAAAAACAAUAGAAAAUAAAUAAAUAAAAAUUACAAAUAACAACCUUUUGAUUCGAUUUUGUUCUCUAUAUUGCGAAAGUAAUAGCUUUUUUAUUUCUGGUUUCGAAAAUCCGGCCCCCUGUUAUAGUGUAUUCAGGGCUAUUUUAUAGCCAUAAUAAUAAAAAUGAAAAUGAGGAAAUAAAUCUAUCAUAUUGAUUUGAUUUGAUCUUGAUUCCUUGAUUUUUCUUUCCUUCUUUGUGUUUGCAGGCAAUUUCAUGGAGAUUCGGCCUUUGGCGAUGGUUGCGGCGCUAUUGAAACCCUAGGGUUUCUGUCUGUAAUUUGGGCCACCGUAGAUUGGGCCCUUAUUUGUUUUAUUAAUUGGGCCAUACGGGUCUGCUUGUAAAUGGACUGUUUCUUUUGGGUCCCUUUUUUUACCCGGGCAAAAUCCGUUAUUACAAAAACAAUCAUGAAGUAUGUGUUUAGAUUCAAA
RNAcentral lists this long non-coding RNA (765 nucleotides) under Gossypium raimondii (Peruvian cotton). RNAcentral's name for it is "long non-coding RNA (GRAI_LNC002973)". Lineage: Eukaryota; Viridiplantae; Streptophyta; Magnoliopsida; Malvales; Malvaceae. The record is from RNAcentral.